Molecule: ribosomal RNA, 253 nt
Filed under: uncultured bacterium
Lineage: Bacteria
Description: partial 16S ribosomal RNA
Rfam family: Bacterial small subunit ribosomal RNA
Source: RNAcentral
UACGAAGGGGGCUAGCGUUGUUCGGAUUUACUGGGCGUAAAGCGUGCGUAGGCGGUUUGCCGUGUCCUGUGUGAAAGCCCCGGGCUCAACCUGGGAAUUGCAUGGGAAACUGGCAGGCUUGAGUGUGGCAGAGGAGGGUGGAAUUCCGCGUGUAGCAGUGAAAUGCGUAGAGAUGCGGAGGAACACCGAUGGCGAAGGCAGCCCUCUGGGCCAACACUGACGCUCAGGCACGAAAGCGUGGGGAGCAAACAGG